Molecule: long non-coding RNA, 1921 nt
Filed under: Mytilus galloprovincialis (Mediterranean mussel)
Lineage: Eukaryota; Metazoa; Mollusca; Bivalvia; Mytilida; Mytilidae
Source: RNAcentral
UAUCAUGAUAUAUUUAUAUCGUGACGACGAGUUUAAUUUGUUUUUAUUUUAAAUUUUUUUAUAUAUUACUUUUUCCCCAUAUAUUAUACUAUUGAAAUUGAGUAUUGACAGAUCGUCUAGUGCCUAUGGGUAAGCCUAACAAAUUGUAUUUGCGCUGUAACAGAUCAUGCAGGUUAGUAACGUGUCUUUCAUGAUUAUGAGUUGUGGGGCAGGUGUUAUUUAAUGAACUCCCGAAAACUUCCGAAUUAAAAGUAAAUUUUCCUUAAGGGGGUAUACAUCGGUAAUUGUGUAUCUAGAUCUUUCAUAGCCAUAUACAGCAAAUAUUUCAUGAAAGGAUAUGAACGUAAAAGGGACGUACUCUUUGGGGCGAAUGACCCAGGUUCGUAACCGGAAGUUCAACUUUCGAUACAAAUAAACAAAAAUCUUGGAAAUCUUGAACAGAGACCAUACCCGGAGUUAAGAAGCAGUAGCCAAAAGAAAUCAUUGCUAAAUGUUAGCUUGCUGGUGGAUUUAAGCAAACAUUAUCAUUAUCUGUGUAUAUCCGGCUAUAAAUUUUGCGUGUACCUACACAUUUGUGUACUAAAAACUGUCAAGAGUCGUUCAUCACAGUGACAUGUAUACAUUUUUUAGUUGCUACUACUCUCUAGCCUAGACUAGGUCGAUAUGGUAUGAAUAGUUCCGUUAAAUCAAGAAUUUAGCCAUAUGUCAACAGGCCACAGCUUGAAUUAUUGUUGUAAUAACUCAAUUAUAUACAAAUAUUACACGAUGUUACUAUCAACUGACUAUGGAUUUAAGUUUAAUAAAUAUAUAAAUCUGUAAAUAUACUAAUUUUGAAUUAUUAUUUUUUUAAAUUAUUUGUAACUAUUAUCGACACAACUACAUGUAUGAGUAUACAUAAUUUUUUAUUGUUAUUGUUUCUUUGUACAGUCAUUUGGUUUUGUUAUGUCAAUGCUAUGUAGCAUGGUGGAACUAAUAUUUACUUUUUGUUGAGUUGUAGCACAAUGUUGGGAAGAUCAGUUAGAGUCCUUGCUCGGCCACAGAACACGGCCAAGGGUUGUAACAGUUGGACAAGAGACUUAGACAACAAGGACACACCAGUUUUUACAGAUGGGUCACCAGACUGGACUGGAUUCACGACUCAUCACGCCACUAACUCAACUCCUUUGGUCACAUACAUUUGUACAUUGGAUCAUCAUCAGACGUUAUUUAUGCAAACCCCUAGAGCUCUGCAUUAGUAUGAUCCAGUUGAGAAUUUAUCAGGUAAUCGUCAGAUUUACUAGUUAAAAGCAGUAUUUACUUUUAAGUUAAACCCCCUCAUGUACAAAAUGUACAUGUGAUUCCAACAUAUAACAAACAUAUUUAUAAAGAUUAAGACAACUUUUUCUAAUCUUAUGUGUUAGAUUGAAAAGAUUUGUGCAACGUUUAUAUCUCAGUUUCUAAACUUAAAAUCCAUAAAAAAUUGCUGAAUGUGUUACUUUUACAAAUUUAUAUGGCCAUAACAUGAUGGGAUGCCGCAUCAUGCGUUUGAAAUAAAAAAAAAAACAUUCGUAAAUAUGAAGUUACAAUUAUAUAUAAUUGUUAUAUAAAUAUAUUACAUGUGAAACUUUUAAAUGUUGUUUGGUAUAUUAUCACAUUUUGAAUGGAGGACGCUACCGAUUUAUAUAAACUAUAAUUAUAAUAUUUAUCUUGUUUAAUAAUCUGAAUAUUAAAAAUCAGAUAUGCAUGUACGGCAUGAAUACAGAUUUUGCAAUAAAGUACCACAAUUUAAAGGACAAAAUUUAUAGAAGUCUAUAUUUAUUGAACUUUUCAUUAUUAUUGAUUUUUUAUAUAUAUAUCUUAAGGGAAAAAAGGGGCCAAAUGGUUUUAUCUUGUAACCAACUUUUAAAAUGAGACUAUUACAAGUUUUGUGUAAUUUUAAAUU